Molecule: ribosomal RNA, 253 nt
Filed under: uncultured bacterium
Lineage: Bacteria
Description: partial 16S ribosomal RNA
Rfam family: Bacterial small subunit ribosomal RNA
Source: RNAcentral
UACGGGGGGGGCAAGCGUUGUUCGGAAUUACUGGGCGUAAAGGGCUCGUAGGCGGCCAACUAAGUCCGACGUGAAAUCCCCAGGCUUAACCUGGGAACUGCGUCGGAUACUGGAUGGCUUGAAUCCGGGAGAGGGAUGCGGAAUUCCAGGUGUAGCGGUGAAAUGCGUAGAUAUCUGGAGGAACACCGGUGGCGAAGGCGGCAUCCUGGACCGGCAUUGACGCUGAACAGCGAAAGCCAGGGGAGCAAACGGG